GAGCUGCUGCUCUUCUCCUGUCUCCCAUCCCCUCCCCUGGCCAUGACAGAGACUCGGGAGCCAGCUGAGACUGGGGGCUACGCCAGCUUAGAAGAAGAUGAUGAAGACCUCUCCCCAGGCCCUGAGCAUUCCUCUGACUCCGAAUAUACUCUCUCAGAGCCGGAUUCUGAAGAAGAAGAAGAUGAAGAGGAGGAGGAGGAGGAGACCACUGAUGAUCCCGAAUAUGACCCGGGCUACAAGGUGAAGCAGCGCCUUGGGGGAGGCCGGGGAGGCCCGUCUCGCCGGGCCCCCCGUGCAGCCCAACCCCCAGGUCCCCCAGCCCAGCCUUGCCAGCUCUGUGGCCGCUCACCGCUUGGGGAGGUCCCACCGGGCACCCCACCUUGCCGGCUCUGCUGCCCUGCUACAGCUCCCCAGGAAGCACCAGCCCCUGAAGGGAGGGCCCUCAGGGAGGAAGAGGAGGAGCCACCCCGAGCUGGGGAGGGACGGCCAGCUGGGCGGGGGGAGGAGGACGAUGAGGAGGAGGAGGGCACUUACCACUGUACAGAGUGCGAGGACUCCUUUGACAACCUCGGCGAGCUCCACGGCCACUUCAUGCUGCAUGCCCGGGACUCCAGGAUGAAGAGGCUCCAACACAACAGAAUUUUGUUUCUCACUCAUUUAAUAGUCUCAGCAUUGAGAAUGCACCAGUGAAUAAGAUCCUUGUCUUCGUGGAGUUGAUGUGGGGUGAGUAUGGGCUGCCACUGGAGACAGACAGAAAACAAAUGAGAUACAGCAAACGCUGGAUGGUGGUAAAUGCUGUAGAGAAAAUAAAGGAGAGGGAGAGAGGGGAGAACAGUUCUGGAAGGGGUUGCCCUUUUAAGUAGCAUAGUCUUCCCUGAGAAGGUGACCAAGACCUGAAGGAAGGAGGGAGGGAGCCGUGCUUGUGGGUGGAGGAGAGAGAUGCAGUUGAGUGGAGUAGGAGCCCACCUGGGAUGUCAGGGAGACCCGAGUGACAGCAAGGGAGGGAGGAGGGCCGAGCUGAAGGAUCAGUGAGGGUCAGAGGGUAGCAGAGGGCUGGCUCAUUGCAGCCUUGGUGAAACCUGGGCUCUCUGGGAUGGGAAGUACUAAUUGGCAGAGGAUUGGCACCAAAGCUGCUUUGAAAAAUAGACACCUAAUCAUGAUAGUCACCGUUUACUGAACAUUUACACGUGCCAAGCCGCGUUCUCUGGUGCUUUACAUGGGUUCGCUCAUAGAAGCCUGGCAACUAAGAACCUCCAAGAAAGGACCUGAAUCACCAUGAUGCAUCAUUGAGUCAACACUGCCAGCGGACCAGGCCCUGGGCUAAGUGCUUUAUGUGAACAAAUACCUGGGAUCCUUAGGAGAUGGUCCUCCUAAGUUGCCGAGGCCAGCCUGGGACUU
Molecule: non-coding RNA, 1398 nt
Organism: Marmota flaviventris (yellow-bellied marmot)
Lineage: Eukaryota; Metazoa; Chordata; Mammalia; Rodentia; Sciuridae
Source: RefSeq, a predicted model, not a curated record